RNAcentral lists this ribosomal RNA (231 nucleotides) under uncultured bacterium. Its description in RNAcentral is "partial 16S ribosomal RNA". It matches the Rfam family "Bacterial small subunit ribosomal RNA", at positions 334 to 579 of the family's 1533-position model. The record is from RNAcentral.
AUGCCCUACGGGGGGCAGCAGUGGGGAAUAUUGGGCAAUGGGCGCAAGCCUGACCCAGCAACGCCGCGUGAAGGAAGAAGGCUUUCGGGUUGUAAACUUCUUUCAUCAGGGACGAAGCAAGUGACGGUACCUGAUGAAUAAGCCACGGCUAACUACGUGCCAGCAGCCGCGGCAAUACGUCGGUGGCAAGCGUUAUCCGGAUUUACUGGGCGUAAAGGGCGUGUAGGCGGG